AACUUGACGCUGCAAGUGAAAAUCUGACGCUGUUUUGGGACUUGACGCUGACGCUCUACCUUUAUGAAAUGGGCCCCUGGUCGUUUGCGAUUGAAGAGUACUAUUGGGGCAAGGAUAGCUUCUGCCAACUUUGCCCAUGCACUACCAACUUCAGACUCAUCUGCAGAAAUUAAUACCUUCUCUCUCUGUUGCAUUUCCAUCUGCAGGUACUUGGAAAGCUUCACCACAUCUUCCGUUAGUGGAAGGAGUUAGGGGUUAUUGCAUUUGACUUUAAGCAAAGUGCGCAGAGCAUGGUGGCUACUAAGUUUUCAAUCAGAAUUUUCUUUGAACUCGAUCCAGAUAUCUGUUCUUUUUUAUUCCCUUCAAGUAGAAUUUUUCUACUUCCAAUUCAGGAGCAUUUCUACAAUGUUAGUAAACCAUACAUAGGGUCCAAUACAACAUUGCUCGAAGGAACUUGUACAAGUGAUCUUAAAAUUUCCUGUCGAUUUUGACUUCUCUAUCCGUUCUCAUUCCAUUCACUGCCACCUCUUUUUUUCAUCUUCCUUCAUGUAAGCAUGAUGCAGGUUCCAGCCGCUUUCUGAUGUUGGUCUUAAUAUUCCAGAGUCAUCUAGAAUCUUUAUCAAGAUCAUCUCAUCAACACACAAGUAUAUAUUCGGUGGAUCACAGAAGUUUUCCAACGAUUUGCAAAGGUUGAUAGAUGAUAAGUUCUCUUCUAGAUUAUCACGAGAAUCACUCUCAUGGAAAAUUGUAAAUGGAUAUAGGUGAUUUGGGCUUUGGAACAAGAUAUCUUGCAGAUAAAGGUCAUUAUCCAAAAUUGAGAGAACCAUGAAUGUUCUUUGGUGGCUGCCAAUCUCUCUCCCAUCCUCCCAAAGUCUGACAGAUAAUUUGCUUGUUAAAAAGGGAUUAUUUAUAUGUCAACAUUUCUAAUAAGCGACAUGGAUUAAUGAACCAUCUGGUACCGGUACGUGGAUUGAGGAUAGCGCCAAAACUUAACAAUUCUGCCUUGCUUCCUUUUCUUUUGAAUAACUAGGCAGUAUCCCAGGAAUUUUCUUCCGAAAUUGGUUUAGGAGCCGCGAACCACUAUAAUUAUUCUUAUUCAAAGAGAUCUGUUCGGGGCGACCACUUUUGUCAAAAUGAAUCUGAAAGUUUCCCUAGCGCACACCUCUGUUUAUAUUGGUCGCUAAGUUUGCAAUCAGAAUUUUCUUUGAACUCGAUUCAGAUUUCUUUAUCUUUAUCAAGAUCAUCUCAUCAACACACAAGUAUAUCUCCGAUGGAUCACAGAAGUUUUCCAACGAUUUGCAAAGGUUGAUGGAUGAUAAGUUCUCUUCUACAUUAUCACGAGAAUCACUCUUAUAGAAUAUUGAAGUGGAUAUAGGUGAUUUGGGCUUUGGAACAAGAUAUCAUGCAGAUAAAGAUCAUUAUUCAGCAUUGAGAGAACCAUGAAUGUGCUUUGGGGGCCGCCAAUCUCCCAUCCUCCCAAAUUCUGACAGAUAAUUUACUUGUGAUAAAGGGAUAAAGGGAUUAUUUACAUGUCAGCAUUUCUAAUAAGCGACAUGGAUUAAUGAACCAUCCGGUAGUGCUAUGACGUGGAUUGAGGAUAGCGCCAAAACUUUUAACAUAAUUCUGCCUUUCUUCAUUUUCUUUUGAAUAACUAGGCAGUAUCCCAGGGAUUUUCUUCCGAAAUUGGUUUAGGAGCCGCAAACCACGAUAAUUAUCCUUAUUCAAAGAGAUCUGUUUGGGCGACCACUUUUUUCAAAAUGAAUCUGAAAGUUUGCACACUUCUGUUGUUUAUAUUGGUCGCUAAGUUUGCAAUCAGAAUUUUCUUUGAACUCCAUUCAGAUUUCUGUACUUCUUUGUUGCCUUCAUAUAUAUUUUUUUCUACUGAUUUGGGCUUUGGAACAAGAUAUCUUGCAGAUAAAGGUCAUUAUCCAAAAUUGAGAGAACCAUGAAUGUUCUUUGGUGGCUGCCAAUCUCUCUCCCAUCCUCCCAAAGUCUGACAGAUAAUUUGCUUGUUAGAAAGGGUAUUAAUAUGUCAACAUUUCUAAUAAGCGACAUGGAUUAAUGAACCAUCCGGUAGCACUACGACUUGAAUUGAGGAUAACACCAAAACUUUUAACAUAAUUCUGCCUUGCUUCCUUUUCUUUUGAAUAACUAGGCAGUAUCCCAGGGAUUUUCUUCUGAAAUUGGUUUAGGGGCCGCGAACCACUAUAAUUAUCCUUAUUCAAAGAGAUCUGUUCGGGGCGACCACUUUUGUCAAAAUGAAUCUGAAAGUUUCCCUAGCGCACACCUCUGUUUAUAUUGGUCGCUAAGUUUGCAAUCAGAAUUUUCUUUGAACUCGAUUCAGAUUUAUUUAUCUUUAUCAAGAUCAUCUCAUCAACGCACAAGUGUAUCUCCGAUGGAUCACAGUAGUUUUCCAACGAUUUGUGCAAAGGUUGAUAGAUGAUAAGUUCUCUUCUAGAUUAUCAUGAGAAUCACUCUCAUAGAAAAUUGAAAAUGGAUAUAGGUGAUUUGGGCUUUGGAACAAGAUAUCUUGCAGAUUAAAGAUCAUUAUUAAAAAUUAAGAGAACCAUGAAUGUUCUUUGGUGGCUGCCAAUCUCUCUCCCAUCCUCCCAAAUACUGACAGAUAAUUUGAUUUUUUAAAAAAUGAAUCUGAAAGUUUCCCCGUUGCAAACCUCUGUUUAUAUUGGUCGCUAAGUUUGCAAUCAGAAUUUUCUUUGAACUCCAUUCAGAUUUCUGUUCUUUAUUCCCGUCAGAUAGAAUUUUUUCUACUUCCAGUUUCAGGAGCUUUUCUACAAUGUUAGUAAAACCAGGCAUAGGGUCAAAUGCAACAUUACUCGAAGGAACUUGUACAAGUGAUUCAGGAAAUUUCCUAUAGAUUUUGACUUCUCUAUCCAUUCUCAUUCCAGUCGCUGCAUCUUUUUUGUAUCUUCUUUCAUGCAAGCAUGAUACAGGUUCCAGCCGCUUUCUAAUGUUGGUCUUAAUAUUCCAGAGUCAUCUAGAAUCUUUAUCAAGAUCAUCUCAUCAACACACAAGUAUAUAUUUGGUGGAUCACAGAAGUUUUCCAAUGAUUUGCAAAGGUUGAUGGAUGAUAAGUUCUCUUCUAGAUUAUCACGAGAAUCACUCUCAUAGAAAAUUGUAAAUGGAUAUAGGUGAUUUGGGCUUUGGAACAAGAUAUCUUGCAGAUAAAGGUCAUUAUCCAAAAUUGAGAGAACCAUGAAUGUUCUUUGGUGGCUGCCAAUCUCUCUCCCAUCCUCCCAAAGUCUGACAGAUAAUUUGCUUAUUAGAAAGGGUAUUAAUAUGUCAACAUUUCUAAUAAGCGACAUGGAUUAAUGAACCAUCCAGUAGCACUACGACGUGAAUUGAGGAUAGCACCAAAACUUUUAACAUAAUUCUGCCUUGCUUCCUUUCCUUUUGAAUAACUAGGCAGUAUCCCAGGGAUUUUCUUCUGAAAUUGGUUUAGGGACAGCGAACCUCUAUAAUUAUCCUUAUUCAAAGAGAUCUGUUCAGGGCUACCACUUUUGUCAUAAUGAAUCUGAAAGUUUCCCCGUUGCAAACCUCUGUUUAUAUUGGUCGCUAAGUUUGCAAUCAGAAUUUUCUUUGAACUCCAUUCAGAUUUCUGUUCUUUAUUCCCGUCAGAUAGAAUUUUUUCUACUUCCAGUUUCAGGAGCUUUUCUACAAUGUUAGUAAAACCAGGCAUAGGGUCAAAUGCAACAUUACUCGAAGGAACUUGUACAAGUGAUUCAGGAAAUUUCCUAUAGAUUUUGACUUCUCUAUCCGUUCUCAUUCCACUCGAAGGAACUUGUACAAGUGAUUCAGGAAAUUUCCUAUAAAUUUUUACUUCUCUAUCCGUUCUCUUUCUCAUUCCAGUCGCUGCCUCUUUUUUGUAUCUUCCUUCAUGCAAGCAUGAUACAGGUUCCAGCCGCUUUCUGAUGUUGGGCCUAAUAUUCCAGAGUCAUCUAGAAUCUCUAUCAAGAUCAUCUCAUCAGGACACAAGUAUAUCUCUGAUGGAUCACAGAAGUUUUCUAAUGAGUCACAAAGGUUGAUAGAUGAUAAGUUCUCUUCUAGAUUAUCACAAGAAUCACUCUCAUAGAAAAUUGAAAAUGGAUAUAGGUGAUUUGGGCUUUGGAACAAGAUAUCUUGCAGAUAAAGGUCAUUAUCCAAAAUUGAGAGAACCAUGAAUGUUCUUUGGUGGCUGCCAAUCUCUCUCCCAUCCUCCCAAAGUCUGACAGAUAAUUUGCUUGUUAGAAAGGGAUUAUUUAUAUGUCAACAUUUCUAAUAAGCGACAUGGAUUAAUGAACCAUCCGGUAGCGGUAUGACAUGGAUUGAGGAUAGCACCAAAACUUUUAACAUAAUUCUGCCUUGCUUCCUUUUCUUUUGAAUAACUAGGCAGUAUCCCAGGGAUUUUCUUCUGAAAUUGGUUUAGGGACUGCGAACCUCUAUAAUUAUCCUUAUUCAAAGAGAUCUGUUCGGGGCUACCACUUUUGUCAAAAUGAAUCUGAAAGUUCCCCGUCGCAUACCUCUGUUGUUUAUAUUGGUCGCCAAGUUUGCAAUCAGAAUUUUCUUUGAACUCGAUUCAGAUUUCUGUUCUUCAUUAUUCCCUUCAGAUAGAAUUUUUUCUACUUCCAGUUUCAGGAGCUUUUCUACAAUGUUAGUAAAACCAGGCAUAGGGUCAAAUACAACAUUACUCAAAGGAACUUGUAUAAGUGAUUCAGGAAAUUUCCUGUCGAUUUUGACUUCUCUAUCUGUUCUCAUUCCAUUCGCUGCCACCUCUUUUUUAAUCUUCCUUCAUGCAAGCAUGAUACAGGUUCCAGUCAAUUUCUGAUGUUGGGCCUAGUAUUCCAGAGCACUCUAGAAUCAAGAUCAUCUCAUCAACACACAAGUAUAUCUCUGAUGGAUCACAGUAGUUUUCCAACGAUUUGCAAAGGUUGAUAGAUGAUUUUCUUGGCAAAGGGGAUGGUCUGAAUAAACCAGGCGGUGGACCAUUGUCCCACUUAGAAUAAAAUUUUUCAAGCUCUUGUUGUGGGGGAACAUUCAUACCCAGUUUCUGGCUAGUACAUUGAUCACCACUUCUACUUGCCAUGCUUGCUGAGUUGUUAGAAUUAGUUGAUCGCUUUUGACAAAGAGGAGUACAUGUACCCCAUCGUGUUUAUCAUCAACCAAUGAUUGCUUGUCAUUGAGCUUCAAGCUUUAAGAGCUUUGUAAGACGAAGGAUUUCCUGCCAAAGUAUUAUCCUCUCUUCAAUUACAUCCUGACAGAACCUACUAUACGGGAUUUCAUAGAUUUGUUUGAAUGGCAAAUUAUUUUCUACCCUUGGUUUCACUACUUUACAGUAUGACAAAUAACAAGAUCUGUGAUAACGUACUUCAAAAGCCACAAGAUCCUUUUCCCUGAUUUGGAGGAGCAUAUGCUCAUCUUCACGAAUUUCAGCUGCUUUUAAAAGCUAUCCCCUGUAAGAGUUUCACUUCUAACAAGCCUUUCUACUUUCCUUUUGCGAGAAUAACUUUCUCGUACAUACUUAUUGUUCUUACAAAUGAUACACUCAACAGGUAGCACAUGAGGCCUCCCUCGACAUGAACUUUUCCUUGCAUCAGACCUGAAGAGACGUUUUGGCUCUGCUUCCGUCCUGUCUGAUGUCCCCUGAUGAUUUUCUGGUACAACGUCUUCAUCU
Long non-coding RNA from Lytechinus variegatus (green sea urchin), 5668 nucleotides. RefSeq lists it as uncharacterized. The transcript is spliced from 2 exons. The record is from RefSeq and is a predicted model, not a curated record. Lineage: Eukaryota; Metazoa; Echinodermata; Echinoidea; Temnopleuroida; Toxopneustidae.